GCACCAGUAGCUCAGUGGAUAGAGCGGCGGCCUCCGGAGCCACAGACGUAGGUUCGAUUCCUAUCUGGUGUA
This 72-nucleotide transfer RNA is filed under the name Lachnospiraceae bacterium. Its description in RNAcentral is "tRNA-Arg". It matches the Rfam family "tRNA". From Rfam's summary of the family: Transfer RNA (tRNA) molecules are approximately 80 nucleotides in length. Their secondary structure includes four short double-helical elements and three loops (D, anti-codon, and T loops). RNAcentral also lists the same sequence under 1 other name. The record is from RNAcentral. Lineage: Bacteria; Bacillati; Bacillota; Clostridia; Lachnospirales; Lachnospiraceae.